CAGUAGCCGCGGUAAUACGUAGGGUGCGAGCGUUAAUCGGAAUUACUGGGCGUAAAGCGUGCGCAGGCGGUUGUGUAAGACAGGUGUGAAAUCCCCGGGCUUAACCUGGGAACUGCGCUUGUGACUGCACAGCUAGAGUAUGGCAGAGGGGGGUGGAAUUCCACGUGUAGCAGUGAAAUGCGUAGAGAUGUGGAGGAACACCGAUGGCGAAGGCAGCCCCCUGGGCCAAUACUGACGCUCAUGCACGAAAGCUAGGGGAGCAAAUGGGAUUAGAUACCCCUGUAGUCCCUGUCUCUUAUAC
Molecule: ribosomal RNA, 301 nt
Filed under: uncultured bacterium
Lineage: Bacteria
Description: partial 16S ribosomal RNA
Rfam family: Bacterial small subunit ribosomal RNA
Source: RNAcentral